RNAcentral lists this ribosomal RNA (497 nucleotides) under uncultured bacterium. RNAcentral's name for it is "partial 16S ribosomal RNA". It matches the Rfam family "Bacterial small subunit ribosomal RNA", at positions 28 to 507 of the family's 1533-position model. The record is from RNAcentral.
GAUGAACGCUGGCGGCGUGCCUAAUACAUGCAAGUCGAGCGAACAGACGAGGAGCUUGCUCCUUUGACGUUGUCGGCGGACGGGUGAGUAACACGUGGUUAACCUACCUCUCAGACUGGGAUACCUUUGGGAAACCGUAGCUAAUACCGGAUAACAUGUUGCACUGCAUUGUUCAACAGUGAAAGACGCUCUUUCUUUCACUUAUAGACUGCCCCGCGCCGCAUGAGCUAGUUGGCUAGGUAACGGCUUACCCAGGCAACGACGCGUAACCGACCUGAGGGGGUCAUCGGCCACACGGGAACUGAGACACGGCCCAGACUCCUGCGGGGGGAAGCAGUAGGGAAUCUUCCGCGAUGGGGGAAAGGCUGACGGAGCAACGCCGCGGGAGGGAAGAAGGUCUUCGGAUCGGAAAGCGCUGUAAGUAGGAGGGAACAAAUGUGUAAGUAACUGGGCAGGUCUUGACGGUACCGGGACAGAAAGCCACGGCUAACUACGUG